Molecule: long non-coding RNA, 2470 nt
Filed under: Amphibalanus amphitrite
Lineage: Eukaryota; Metazoa; Arthropoda; Thecostraca; Balanomorpha; Balanidae
Description: uncharacterized LOC122378623
Source: RNAcentral
AGAAGGAAAUCAUGGCCUCCCACUCCCGAUGGAGGCCCCAAUGUCUUGUCUCCCUUUUUUCACUGUCUGGGUGUCUGGGGCGCAUAGCGACACGGGACCGCCGGCUCGCUGGCCGGCUGCCCGUCCGGUCACGUGCUUGCGUCCCGACACCCACCAUAAAACCUAUGUUCUCUAAAUACACUCUCUCACUUCUCCUCUACCGACUGUGACGCCAACACCAUCCGCGGACCCCGGCUCCGACAAGGGCGGCCGAAAUGGCCGGCCCACAAUUGGUGCCAGCGGUGGUGGUUGGUUGUCGGUGGAGGAUUUUUGGCUUCAGGUUCGUGCUUCUUGUGGCGGAACGAGUGCAGCGUCAAAUAAUACCCAAAAGACAUGCAUGCUUCUCGAUAUUCCCAAUUAAUUUACAGUAUACUUUAUCGAACUAACUACUGAUUAGCUUUAAUUUUGGUCAUCUGGUAAAAAAAAAACGACUUCUAUAACAUUGACCAAUAACUUUUGGCCAUUCUGAACAAUUUACACCAGCGAAAGUAAUAAGUGGCAAUAAAAAAUUGUCCACAGAAAGUUUGCCAAUUCAACAAUUUACCAGCGAUAUAACUACAUUAGAAGUAUUGCUGUUUGCAUGCCUUCCCAAACGAUUUCACGGGUAUGACGUAAUACACAGAUGCACUCGUUCAGAAGACGCCACUCUUUAAAAGGACUUCAUUUUUUUCAACCAUAUAUUUUUUAUUGAACAACUAAGUAAGUUCUAACACAAUAGUUAGAUAUUCCAAUAACACUUAAACCCACUAAAAACAUUGGCCUCUUCAAUUUAUUCGUUAAAGUAAGUCACUUGGCAGUACUAUUAAAACCGGUCUUUUGCUAUAGUCAUUGGCUCAUUAGCCCCAUUUUUUCUCCCUUACUACUCACUUUGCGACGUAAACGAUCUCUCGAUCGACUGACCGGCGGUGCUGCCCGUUUUUAAAAUCAUUCAAUGUUUUGCUAUCCGCUGUGUCAAAACAUGUCUUCCGUGUCAUUUAUACCAUGAUGUCUUCCAAUGAAUGUUCAGCCUUCACAAAGUUCAUACUGCCGUUUUAUACACAAUUGUUAUCACACACCAGGGAAAAUGUAUCACUGACCGGCACAGCGAUAGCACAACAUUUUAACAAAAAGUGUAUGUGGAUGCAUGUUUGAAUACUUGGACACGGAUACAAAUUUGAAUGUCCUACGGACCCGAAUGUUUUGGCCUUUGAAAGUCCAUGGGUUCCGUGGCACGCCUGGGGAAGCAUUACGACACUUGUGUCGCCCAGUGCUACGUGCCUUUUGUACAAAUGUUGCACUGUACAGCUGCAAAUAUGAAUGACUGUUUUGUAUGAUGUAUAUGUUGGGGCAUUAUUUCGGCACAUUUUAAUUCGGUUCUUUUUCUAUUACAGCCCUUGAGUUUCUGUUACCCAUCUGGGAGUGGCCACUAUCUGACUCCCCGAGCAUCGACUACGGAGAAACGCCGAUACGCAUCACGGUCUGCAAAAGCUGGCUGAUGAUAGUCAUGAUGGGAUUGGACGCUCAUCGCCGACCCGUCUGGCUGUCUCAGUCGCUCUGCAUCUGGUCCACGAAUCACACACUGCAACUGCGGACGCCAUCACCGACUGCAACGGCUGCAACUGCAACCAGCAGGUGGCCUAGGUCCAAAGCCAACGCCUGGCUGACCCUCAUGGCCGCCUGCCGUCGCUGCUACCCCGUCUGCGCUUCGUGCUUCGCUGCUCUCUCUGUCAAAUCGUCUCGUCAAGGUCGUCACCAGUGCCAUCCGCCAUCAACAUGGAUUACACACCAUCGUCGUCACCAACGUUGUCGAUCAACAUCAAGGAGACCAGCACUCCGCAACCGGUUCAUCUUCUUCCGGUAUGCUGAAGCCCUCUGGUAUCGAUGCUGUGCGGCGGCAGCCGUUGCUCAAGGACGAUCGAGGCCUCAUCGUCACGGCACCCACGGCCGCUGCCCCUCACGAUCAAGUCGGACGUCAGCAUCAAAUCCGCAGAGAUGUCUGGUUCCACGAAUCGACAACGAAUCAACAACGCGGCGACGACGACGACGACGACGACAAGAACGAGACCAACAACUCGGACACCAUCAGCAGCAGCGACAACAGCAGUUGCACCAGUAGCAGCAGCAGCCGUACCUGCAGCAGCAGUCGUACCUGGCGUUCCAUGCGCGGUGUCAUACGUGGAUCUAUGCAGUUAGGAUCGUGAUUGCUUAUUGGUCGCCUCCUCUUGUCGGCUUGUUGGGGGAGGAAAGAUAUGUGGAGAAGGAAAUCAUGGCCUCCCACUCCCGAUGGAGGCCCCAAUGUCUUGUCUCCCUUUUUUCACUGUCUGGGUGUCUGGGGCGCAUAGCGACACGGGACCGCCGGCUCGCUGGCCGGCUGCCCGUCCGGUCACGUGCUUGCGUCCCGACACCCACCAUAAAACCUAUGUUCUCUAAAUACACUCUCUCACUUCUCCUC